AGCCGCGGUAAUACGGAGGGUGCGAGCGUUAAUCGGAAUUACUGGGCGUAAAGGGCGAGUAGGCGGUAAAUUAAGUUAGAUGUGAAAUACCUAAUCUUAAAUUAGGAACUGCAUUUAAAACUAGUUUUCUAGAGUUUUGUAGGGGGGAGUAGAAUUCCAUGUGUAGCGGUGAAAUGCGUAGAGAUAUGGAAGAAUACCAGUGGCGAAGGCGACUCCCUGGACAAAAACUGACGCUGCUGCGCGAAAGCAUGGGUAGCAAACAGGAUUAGAUACCCUGGUAGUCCAUGCUGUAAACUAUGUCGAUUUGGAGGUUGUAAUGCAAGUAAAAUUAUGGCUUCCGUAGCUAACGCGUUAAAUCGACCGCCUGGGGAGUACGGUCGCAAGAUUAAAACUCAAAUGAAUUGACGGGGGCCCGCACAAGCGGUGGAGCAUGUGGUUUAAUUCGAUGCAACGCGAAAAACCUUACCUACUCUUGACAUCCAAAGUAGUAAACAGAGAUGUUUAUUUGCCUUGGGGAACUUUGAGACAGGUGCUGCAUGGCUGUCGUCAGCUCGUGUUGUGAAAUGUUGGGUUAAGUCCCGCAACGAGCGCAACCCUUAUCCUUUGUUGCCAUCGAUUAAGUCGGGAACUCAAAGGAGACUGCCGGUGAUAAAUCGGAGGAAGGAGAGGACGACGUCAAGUCAUCAUGGCCCUUACGAGUAGGGCUACACACGUGCUACAAUGGUAUAUACAGAGAGAAGCAAUCCUAUAAAGGGAAGCGGAACUCAGAAAGUAUAUCGUAGUCCAGAUUGGAGUCUGCAACUCGACUCCAUGAAGUCGGAAUCGCUAGUAAUCGCGAAUCAGCAUGUCGCGGUGAAUACGUUCUCGGGCCUUGUACACACCGCCCGUCACACCAUGGAAGUGAGUUGUAAAAGAAGCAAGUAGCUGAACCAAAUGGACAGCACUUACCACUUUAUGAUUCAUAACUGGGGUGAAGUCGUAACAAGGUAACCGUAGGGGAACCUGUG
This 1007-nucleotide ribosomal RNA is filed under the name uncultured bacterium. RNAcentral describes it as "bacterial SSU rRNA". It matches the Rfam family "Bacterial small subunit ribosomal RNA", at positions 513 to 1516 of the family's 1533-position model. The record is from RNAcentral.